GCCGACGUAGCUCAACUGGCAGAGCACUUGUCUUGUAAACAAGAGGUCAGGGGUUCGAGCCCCCUCGUCGGCUCCA
This 76-nucleotide transfer RNA is filed under the name Actinoalloteichus hoggarensis. RNAcentral describes it as "tRNA-Thr". It matches the Rfam family "tRNA". From Rfam's summary of the family: Transfer RNA (tRNA) molecules are approximately 80 nucleotides in length. Lineage: Bacteria; Bacillati; Actinomycetota; Actinomycetes; Pseudonocardiales; Pseudonocardiaceae. The record is from RNAcentral. RNAcentral also lists the same sequence under 2 other names.